RNAcentral lists this unclassified non-coding RNA (302 nucleotides) under Hevea brasiliensis (rubber tree). The record is from RNAcentral. Lineage: Eukaryota; Viridiplantae; Streptophyta; Magnoliopsida; Malpighiales; Euphorbiaceae.
GACCGUGAAAAGCCAAGAAAAAUAACGAUCCCUUCUGAGCUGUUAUCAAACAAAGCCAAAUGCCAGAUUUUCUCAAAACUCUUAACUUCUAUACCCCCUUCGUCCAAAUCGCCAUUAACAACCCCAAACAAACUCAACUUCCUUUCUUCCCCUUCUUUUGUUUUCUUUCCCCCCUCUCACUCUCUCCCGCGAAAGUUACGAUUUGCUCCCACUUAACCCACUUAACUCUCUCAAGCGCAAAGCACGCCUUGUUCUCCCUCUCCCCCUUUACAUUUCCAAUAUAUAUUUCGUGAAUAUUAUUU